This 300-nucleotide ribosomal RNA is filed under the name uncultured Anoxybacillus sp. RNAcentral describes it as "bacterial SSU rRNA". It matches the Rfam family "Bacterial small subunit ribosomal RNA", at positions 1080 to 1382 of the family's 1533-position model. Lineage: Bacteria; Bacillati; Bacillota; Bacilli; Caryophanales; Anoxybacillaceae. The record is from RNAcentral.
UUAAGUCCCGCAACGGCGCGACCCUCGACCUUAGUUGCCAGCAUUCAGCUGGGGCACUCUAAGGUGACUGCCGGCUAAAAGUCGGAGGAAGUGGGGAUGACGUCAAAUCAUCAUGCCCCUUAUGACCUGGGCUACACACGUGCUACAAUGGGCGGUACAAAGGGUCGCGAACCCGCGAGGGGGAGCCAAUCCCAAAAAGCCGCUCUCAGUUCGGAUUGUAGGCUGCAACUCGCCUACAUGAAGUUGGAAUCGCUAGUAAUCGCGGAUCAGCACGCCGCGGUGAAUACGUUCCCGGGCCUU